GCUAAUUUUAGUUUGUCAAAUUCAGGUAUUUUUCCCGGAUCAAAAUAUUGGUUGUAUUUAUACAACCAUUUAUGUACCUCCUCACCUUCAAAGGAGAUUGAGAAGCAUGGAUGUUUUGGGAAGAACUUAUCUCUCCUGGUAGUGUUUGCAGACUUUCAAAGAAUCAUCCAGCCUCUCACAUCUUGGGACCUCUCUGGUGGCAUCUUGCUGAAGUCCAAAGAUGGUGAGCUCUAAUACCACUUUGCUGGAAGUUAAAAGGGUGAGCCUUAAAGAUAUAACAAUGGAGGAGAAAUAUAGAUGGGAAGGAGAAGAGCUGCAGUUACACUCUCAGAAUUUGUUAGAGGAGAAGAGAAAGAGGGAGAACGCCGCGAGAGAAUCUUGGAAAUUUCUGUCAUUCAUUUUCAUGCGUUUCUGUUUCAAUCAUUAAAAGACACUCUACUUCUUUUCUAUUGUCGGCGUGACACUCCACACCUGGCCAUUCUUUCUAACUUAUUCUCAUUUAAAAAGACUGCACAAAACGCAGUCGUUGGGUUGCAA
Molecule: long non-coding RNA, 537 nt
Organism: Populus nigra (black poplar)
Lineage: Eukaryota; Viridiplantae; Streptophyta; Magnoliopsida; Malpighiales; Salicaceae
Exons: 3
Source: RefSeq, a predicted model, not a curated record